ACAAACAUACACCUUCAUCGACGAUGGUCCGUAUACACGACCUUCUUGUAGUGCUUCAAAUACAUGCCUUUAGUUUCAUCUAAAUAGUGCGUGCCGGCUCAGAAUCCCUUAUUUGACUGUCCGGAUAGAUUACCAAGCACCGACCAAUCAUUGAUGGUUAUGAACAACAAUGCUCGUAGAUUAAAUGUCUCUUUUUAUCCUCAUCCC
RNAcentral lists this long non-coding RNA (207 nucleotides) under Setaria viridis. RNAcentral's name for it is "long non-coding RNA (SVIR_LNC007574)". The record is from RNAcentral. Lineage: Eukaryota; Viridiplantae; Streptophyta; Magnoliopsida; Poales; Poaceae.